This 74-nucleotide transfer RNA is filed under the name Blastocatellia bacterium. RNAcentral describes it as "tRNA-Gln". It matches the Rfam family "tRNA". Rfam says of the family: Transfer RNA (tRNA) molecules are approximately 80 nucleotides in length. Their secondary structure includes four short double-helical elements and three loops (D, anti-codon, and T loops). The record is from RNAcentral. Lineage: Bacteria; Pseudomonadati; Acidobacteriota; Blastocatellia.
UGCGGUGUAGCCGAAUUGGUAAAGGCACUUGGCUCUGAACCAAGAUUAUGUGGGUUCGACUCCUACCGCCGCAG